AGAGUUUGAUCCUGGCUCAGAACGAACGUUGGCGGCAUGGAUUAGGCAUGCAAGUCGGGGGAAUCCCAGCAAUGGGGGAACCGGCGUAAGGGGCAGUAAGGCAUGGGUACCUACCCUGAAGUUCGGGAUAGCCAUCAGAGAUGGUGGGUAAUACCGGAUGAUGUCGAGAGACCAAAGAUUUAUCGCUUUGGGAGGGGCCCAUGUGAUAUUAGCUAGUUGGUGAGGUAACGGCUCACCAAGGCGAAGAUGUCUAGCGGGUGUGAGAGCACGACCCGCGCCACUCGCACUGAGACACUGGCGAGACACCUACGGGUGGCUGCAGUCGAGGAUCUUCGGCAAUGGGCGAAAGCCUGACCGAGCGAUGCCGCGUGCGCGAUGAAGGCCUUCGGGUUGUAAAGCGCUUUAGUGGGGGAGAAAAGGGAAACCUUGAUCUAUCCCAAAAAUAAGCUCGGGCUAAGUUCGUGCCAGCAGCCGCGGUAAGACGAACCGAGCGAACGUUGUUCGGAAUCACUGGGCUUAAAGGGCGCGUAGGCGGGCUGUCAAGUCUGGGGUGAAAUCCCACGGCUCAACCGUGGAACUGCCUUAGAUACUGACGGCCUCGAGGGAGAUAGGGGCGAGCGGAACUGUGAGUGGAGCGGUGAAAUGCGUUGAUAUUCACAGGAACUCCGGUGGCGAAGGCGGCUCGCUGGAUCUCUUCUGACGCUGAGGCGCGAAAGCUAGGGGAGCAAACGGGAUUAGAUACCCCGGUAGUCCUAGCCCUAAACGUUGGGUACUGGGUAGUAGACUAGACAUGGGUUUACUGCCGCAGCAAAAGUGCUAAGUACCCCGCCUGGGGAGUAUGGUCGCAAGGCUGAAACUCAAAGGAAUUGACGGGGGCUCACACAAGCGGUGGGAGCAUGGUGGCUUAAUUCGAGGCUACGCG
RNAcentral lists this ribosomal RNA (922 nucleotides) under uncultured bacterium. Its description in RNAcentral is "bacterial SSU rRNA". It matches the Rfam family "Bacterial small subunit ribosomal RNA", at positions 8 to 963 of the family's 1533-position model. The record is from RNAcentral.